Molecule: long non-coding RNA, 2121 nt
Filed under: Nicotiana benthamiana
Lineage: Eukaryota; Viridiplantae; Streptophyta; Magnoliopsida; Solanales; Solanaceae
Description: long non-coding RNA (NBEN_LNC015089)
Source: RNAcentral
AAAGCAAUGUUUUUUCCCUGCUUAAGUCUUUCAUCUCUUUUGCUAAAACUCAGUUUAACACUGCGGUCCAGACUGUUAGAAGUGACAAUGCCUUAGAAUUAGGAUACAGCAUUGAGGGCAUAUUUUUUUUUAGUAGCCAGGGGAUUAUUCAUCAAACCUCCUGCCCUCAUUCACCUCAACAGAAUGGGUUGUUGAAAGAAAACACAAAACACUUCUUGAAACAUGUAGAGCCCUGCUUUUUCACUGGCUUACCUGUGUCUUUCUGGGGGGAUUGUAUGUUAACUGCCACCUAUCUUCUUAACAGAAUACCUUCCAGAAUCCUUCACCAUAAGUCUCCUCAUGAAAUUUUGUAAGGCAAGGCUCCAUCCUAUUCUUAUUUGAGGGCAUUUGGAUGCCUUGCUUAUGCUGCUGUCCCUAUUCCUCAAAGGCACAAGCUGAAACCUAGAGCCCAUUCUUGUGUUUUUCUGGGUUACCCCUUUGCCAAGAAGGGUUAUAAACUGUAUAAUUUGGUUUCCAAAAAGUUUUUUGUCUCAAGGGAUGUUAUCUUCCAUGAAACGUAUUUCCCUUGUAAGAAUAAACCUUCUUCUGCUCACCCUUCUUCUUCAUCUUUUCCUUUUAUUCCUCCUGCUGAUGAUUUCACUGACACUGACUUUCCUAUACCUGCUUCUCCUGAUUCUCAUGUUCCUCAUUCUCCUUCUGCUUCUCCUGUCCCUGAUUUUCCUGAUGCUGGUCCAUCUUUCAAUCAUGAUCUCCCUACUCCUAUGUUACCUCCUUCACAUCCUCUUCCCACACCUAGAAAGUCCACUAGACAGCAUAAUCCUCCUUCCUACCUUAAGGAUUAUGUCUGUCAACUUCCUGCCCUAGAAAGUCCACUAGACAGCAUAAUCCUCUUUCCUAUCUUAAGAAUUAUGUCUGCCAACUCCCUGCCUUUUCUGGUUCCUCUUCUUCUACUUUGAAAUCUGAACCUUUGUAUUACUCUCAAGCUGCAUCUGUCCCAGCAUGGCAGGAUGCAAUGAGACAGGAGUUUGAUGCUUUGGAAGCUAAUCAUACCUGGGAUGUUGUUCCUCUUCCUCCUGGUAAGAAACCCAUUGGCUGUAAAUGGAUCUAUAAAAUCAAAUACAAGUCUGAUAGUCUUGUUGAAAGGUAUAAAGUAAGGCUUGUUAUUAGGGGUGAUACACAAGUUGAGGGGAUUGAUUUUACUGACACUUUUUCUCCAGUGAUUAAGAUGACUACUGUGAAAUGCUUGAUUGCUGUGGCUGUCUAAUAUCACUGGCCUCUAUUUCAGCUUGAUGUCAAUAAUGCUUUUCUCCAUGGUGAUUUGGAUGAGGAAGUUUACAUGAAACUUCCUCCAGGUUUGAUAGUUUCUGCUCUUAUUUCUGGUUCUAUUUCUCCUCCUUCUUCUAGUUCUUCUCCUCUGGUAUGUAAACUCAAGAAAUCCCUAUAUGGGCUAAGACAAGCAUCCAGACAAUGGUAUGCCAAGUUGUCUUCUGCUCUUUAUUCCAGAGGGUACAAACAUUCUUUAAAUGACUAUUCUUUGUUCAUCAAAGGUAAACAUGGCUCCCUUGUGGUGGUGGCAGUCUAUGUGGAUGAUAUUAUCCUUACUAGGGAUGACAGUGAUGAAAUUACUACACUGAAACUGUUUCUGGAUGAUCAGUUUAAGAUCAAAGACUUGGGAUCUUUGCAUUAUUUUUUGGGUCUUGAAAUGUCAGUUGUUCCUGGUGGAAUGAUCCUUAAUCAGCAUAAGUAUAUUUCUGAUUUACUGCAUCAGUUUGAUUGUGCAAAUGUCUCCUCGGAUGACAGUGAUGAAAUUACUACACUGAAACUGUUUCUGGAUGAUCAGUUUAAGAUCAAAGAUUUAGGGUCUUUGCAUUAUUUUUUAGGUCUUGAAAUGUCAGUUGUUCUUGGUGAAUGACCCUUAAUCAGCAUAAGUAUAUUUCUGAUUUACUGCAUCAGUUUGAUUGUGCAAAUGUCUCAUUUGUUGUUUCUCCUUUGGACAUUAAUGUCAAACUUCAUGCUGAUUCUGGUGAUCUUUUAUCCUCUCCUGACCAGUACAGGAGUCUAGUUGGUAAGAUGUUGUUUCUGACUCAUACUAGGCCUGACAUAUGCUUUGCAGUCCAACAU